Long non-coding RNA from Homo sapiens (human), 807 nucleotides. Ensembl annotates it as PROX1 antisense RNA 1. Its record names the gene PROX1-AS1. NCBI's taxonomy places the organism in Eukaryota, Metazoa, Chordata, Mammalia, Primates, Hominidae. The record is from Ensembl.
AGUGAUCUUUCCGUGGGAAUGCGGCAAGGAGUCAGCAGGCAUAGUGAAAAUGGGCGGCGAUGGAUACUCCCAGCACUUGCUGAGCACUGCUACGCCUCAGGACUGGGACAGAGAGAACCAUUCUCUGCUUUCAAUAGGACAGAAGAGCUCCUUGGCACUGGAUGCCUCCGGGUCUGGUUGAGAGAGGAAUGGUUAGGAGACUGUUCUGAGGAUACGCAGACAUCAUCCAAAGCUUCCUACAUUCAGAUGAGGACAGAGGUUGGGCCAGAGCUUUGUAAGCUUGUUACCUAAGGAUGGUUCUGACCAUGUAAGCAGAUCACAGAAGGCCAAACUGGUGACAACUGGUCUAGCGGUUGGACUUUGGAUUAUUAAAAAAUAUUUUGCAAGAAAUAAGCUUGGCUUAUGUGAACCAACAAUGAGAUAACCUCCUUUGCUGGAGGCAAAGGAUGCCAAGAUGGGAAAGCCACAUAAUGGAAGGAUCCUGGAUUUCAGAGCUGUCACUUGGAGGAGGGGCACCCAGUGAAGGUGUCUUAUCUAACCCACACCAUAUCUUCAUGAAGUGGCCAUAUGGAUUUGAUCCCUAUCCUUCAGAGGUGCUCAGCCUAAGGGAACACGGAUAGUAGAUUAAGCACUGACCAGGCAUGAAGAAACUGAAGCAUGGAGGAAAAACUUAGCAACUAGCCCAACGUCACACAGGCACCUUUCUCUUUACUCAUUGGACUCAGAGCCAGCCUUGACAAUGUGCUGAUGGCAACCUAGAACAUAAGCAGAGGAGUAUACAGGACAAGAACUUGAUGGUCUCGGGAA